AUGGCGGAACACUUCCCCGGAGACGAGGCGGCGGCCAACGGCUUCGGCUGUUGUUCGCUCCGCGAACAGGAGUCCUGGCUCCUGUUCCAGGCGAACAUCCCAGCGCCGCCGGACAUGCGCGCCGGGCCGACGGGGUGGAGGCUCAGCGCCGGGGGAGUGCCCAUUCCCCCGUUGCCCGAUGCCGUGGCGAAGCCGAAGUACUUCGCCGAGGAAGUCGAGGUCGUGCGCGCCUCCCUCACCGACGCCCAACUCUCCCUCCCCCAGUACGCCGCCGACAACCACGCGGCUUGGGCGGCGUAUUUCGAGCGCCGCCAGCAGCAGCGCUUGGCGUCCAUCAACGACGCGCCGGUGGUUGGUGGCCGGCAGAACAGCGAGGGGCGCCACCUGUGGUGGGGCGUCCCCGGCCGCACACUCGAGGGCGUGCUGACGUACCUCGAGGGCGGCAACGACCCGCCGUUGGCGUACCCGGCGAGGGCGGCCGCCCCGGCGCAGCACCGACGCGCCGGGCCAUGGGCGCCAAGGAGGUUCGGGUCCUCCUCCUCUUCUUCCUCCUCCCGAUCUUCAUCGCACUCCUCCGGCACUCCAGCCCUGCUCGGCGUCAAGGUCGAGCCCGCGGCGGAGACGCCGCUCGGCCGGCGCACUCGCAGCACCGGCAUCAUCUUCAACGAGGGCGGCCGGCGCACCUACUCGUCGGCUCCUCCUUCGCGCUUCGUCAAGCCAAAGACGGAGCCGGGGCUCGCGCCAGUGAAGACGAAGCCGGGGCUCGCGCCGGUGAAGAAGGAGCCGGCCGCGCCGGUGACGACGGAGCUCGACGACGACGACGCGGCCCUCGAAUGGGCGCGCAGGGACUCCAUAGCGAUGGAGAAGGAGCGCCUGGAGAAGGCGACGGAGCGCCAGUGCGCCGCCCUGCUUCGCUUCGCGGAGCGUCGACGCGGCCGCGACAAAGGCGGAGUCGUCGUCAUUUGGGACAGCGACGACGACGACGACGAUGCGCCGCCACCAGUCCGCCAUGGCGACGCCGGGCAGGGGUCCAGCAGGGGCGCCCGCGUCAAGGAGGAGAAGGCCGACGACGAUGAUGGCGGCGACGGCGGCGACUUCAGCCAGUUUUUCCUUUAG
RNAcentral lists this ribosomal RNA (1116 nucleotides) under Triticum aestivum (bread wheat). Its description in RNAcentral is "partial small subunit ribosomal RNA". Lineage: Eukaryota; Viridiplantae; Streptophyta; Magnoliopsida; Poales; Poaceae. The record is from RNAcentral.